CGGGGAGUAGUCAAGUGGUAUGAUACGCGGUUUGGGACCGUGUGGCGGGAGUUCGAUUCUCCCCUCCCCGA
RNAcentral lists this transfer RNA (71 nucleotides) under Patescibacteria group bacterium. RNAcentral describes it as "tRNA-Pro". It matches the Rfam family "tRNA". From Rfam's summary of the family: Transfer RNA (tRNA) molecules are approximately 80 nucleotides in length. Their secondary structure includes four short double-helical elements and three loops (D, anti-codon, and T loops). The record is from RNAcentral. RNAcentral also lists the same sequence under 1 other name.